GAUGAACGCUAGCGGCAGGCCUAAUACAUGCAAGUCGAACGGUAGAUCGGGUAGCAAUACUUGAUUGAGAGUGACGUAAGGGUGCGUAACACGUAUGCAAUCUACCCUCAACAGGAGUAUAGCUCGGGGAAACUCGGAUUAACACUCCAUAACAUUACGAUGUGGCAUCACAUUGUGAUUAAAACUCCGGUGGUUGAGGAUGAGCAUGCGUCUGAUUAGUUAGUUGGAGGUGUAACGGACCCCCAAGACGAUGAUCAGUAGGGGAACUGAGAGGUUGAUCCCCCACACUGGCACUGAGAUACGGGCCAGACUCCUACGGGAGGCAGCAGUAGGGAAUAUUGGUCAAUGGAUGAGAGCCUGAACCAGCCAUGCCGCGUGCAGGAAGACGGCCUUCUGGGUUGUAAACUGCUUUUAUCUGGGGAUAAAAAGCCCAUGCGUGGGACAUUGAAGGUACCAGAUGAAUAAGCACCGGCUAACUACGU
RNAcentral lists this ribosomal RNA (482 nucleotides) under uncultured bacterium. Its description in RNAcentral is "bacterial SSU rRNA". It matches the Rfam family "Bacterial small subunit ribosomal RNA", at positions 28 to 506 of the family's 1533-position model. The record is from RNAcentral.